RNAcentral lists this ribosomal RNA (498 nucleotides) under uncultured bacterium. Its description in RNAcentral is "partial 16S ribosomal RNA". It matches the Rfam family "Bacterial small subunit ribosomal RNA", at positions 30 to 523 of the family's 1533-position model. The record is from RNAcentral.
AUUGAACGCUGGCGGCAUGCCUUACACAUGCAAGUCGAACGGUAACAGGUCUUCGGAUGCUGACGAGUGGCGAACGGGUGAGUAAUACAUCGGAACGUGCCUAGUAGUGGGGGAUAACUACUCGAAAGAGUGGCUAAUACCGCAUGAGAUCUACGGAUGAAAGCAGGGGAUCGCAAGACCUUGUGCUACUAGAGCGGCCGAUGGCAGAUUAGGUAGUUGGUGGGAUAAAAGCUUACCAAGCCGACGAUCUGUAGCUGGUCUGAGAGGACGAUCAGCCACACUGGGACUGAGAAACGGCCCAGACUCCUACGGGAGGCAGCAGUGGGGAAUUCUGGACAAUGGGCGCAAGCCUGAUCCAGCAAUGCCGCGUGCAGGAUGAAGGCCUUCGGGUUGUAGACUGCUUUUGUACGGAACGAAAAGCCCCGGGUUAAUACCCUGGGGUCAUGACGGUACCGUAAGAAUAAGCACCGGCUAACUACGUGCCAGCCGCCGCCGUAA